Cherax quadricarinatus is the source of this 2485-nucleotide non-coding RNA. NCBI's taxonomy places the organism in Eukaryota, Metazoa, Arthropoda, Malacostraca, Decapoda, Parastacidae. The record is from RefSeq and is a predicted model, not a curated record.
CUCUCUAUAUUCAUAUUAUAAUGAAAUUAAGCAUUAAACCUGUAAGGGUCAUUUGAAUGAACUUUCUGUUGUACCUCUAGCUUAUGUAAAUUUUUUUUUUCAGAGUGCAUCUGUGUAAUAUACCUAUGACCAAAAUCAAGAGUUUUUCUACUCUCUCAGCCUGGCCUGGGGCCUGGCUUACCUGCUGAUUGCCUGUCCAACUAGUAUUACCAAUGGAGCUUGUAGAAGUUUGAGGCAUUCUGAUGGAUGUAGACGAAUUAAAGUCUUCCACUGGUGUCACUACGUAUAAAGCAGAAGAUCCACCAACAUGGCCUUCAGUACUGGUAGAAGAAGGAAAAGCAUUUACUGAAGGUGUACUUUCCAUAUUUGAGGCAUGAGUGUCUCCAAGCAGGUACCUACCGGCAUUGAUGCUCGUUGGGUUGGCACCCUCCAAAACAACCGAAGGGUUCAUCUGACCCAUCCCCGCAGUCCGCCAACCCGUCGCAGAAUUGGUGCUGGGGGAUACACUGACUGCUGCGGCAAGUAAACUGAGUGUCAGGGUUGGGGCACACUGAAACACACACAGCCACUGUCAGACACUGAGAACUGAGAUCCUCUGCUGAAAGGAUGGUUGAGGAGUGGGAAAGGGGAGGUGAUUGAAGUACAAAGAAAAAAAAGAAAGGACAAAGGUCAGACUUCCCUGCUCACCACCAGCACCUCGCCCACAUGGAUGAAAUACUGACAAGUACGAAGGGGAACUUUUAUUGGGAUAAUGUUUCCCUGUAGAACUACGAUAAAAGUUCUUUACAGCACGAAACAUCACUGAAUGCUUAUUCUGGAACUUUCUUCGCCUUACACACAUUGUCUGCCGCCAUAACACCCAAGUCGAACAUAUACCAUUAAAACCAAAGUCAUGAAGUACACCCUCCAGAAAAUUAUUUGUUUCCUUCUCAGAGAUUUACCUGAAGACAAUUUCAGGGGAGGGAGUUGGGGGGGUGUAAUCGUCCCCGGGCUGGCAUGCUGGAUAUUAACCCGACCAACGAGACAGCUAGGGGUCUGUUGGUAAUUUCCUUUAUGUAUGAAAGGAGAGUGUUGAAAAGACUUAAUCCCUUUACACUUACUGUGUCAUCUCCUAGUGUACUAGGUAUUUUGCACCAUCUGCCAAGCCAUAUCCACGUUCACUUCCACUUUCCUAACCCCAAAAUCUCUCACCGUUCUCAUUCAUCCCUUCCUUAUCCACAAACUCAGCGCUCCCAGAGGCCCAUCAAGGCAGCUCCAACUCCUCCAGUCUUUCCACUCAAACAUGCAGUUGUUAAGCAAGUCGAUGAAUAUUCUAAAUCCCCAAUGUGUCUUCGUCCGUCGAGCUCAACAUAUCUGCUAAAUGAUUCACCUCCCCCACAAACGCUUUUAGUCGCGUAGCCGACGGCCAAUGAAUUAUCUUUACUGGUUACAGGCAGUCCCUCCCCAACACAAAUGCCAACAUACUAAUCUAGUUGAGGUAUACUUUUUAUUUUUGUGUGUAAGUACUGGGGAUUCAAUGUGGCGACUUCACAGAUGCAAAGCACCGCCGUUACCCGUAACGACGGGUACCUCGGAACGAUUUCUGAUCAGAUGGGCUGUAGGGCUUACUUUGGACUCCCUGCUGCUAACACAAAAAGCCUGACUGAUCAUGCUAUCAACUAGGAGGCCUAGUCCGGGACUAACCGCUGGGGCAGCGACUCCCGAAACCAUUAAGAGACAGGCAAAACAACCAGUGACGGCAGCACAGGUGAAGUUGAUUUAUGGAGGCCGGUCAUGUCGCCUCAUUGACUGGUAAAUCACUGCUGCAGAAUUAUCAACACAUACACAAACUCUGAAUAUUCUUCGGUUCUUAAUACAACACCAAAUAUUCAAAGAACCAUCCUCACCUUCAUAUCUCUGUAACUCACAUGCACACACAAUACCCUAUGCCACACAACUAAUGACUGUUGGAGACCACUUACGUCCACCUACAACACAACCUACGUAUCCAGCUGUACAGAAAUGCGCGAAAAUAUUCCCCUUCACCUAACCGCAAGCCUAGGAAAUAAUUGCUUCUCUCCUCCAUACUUCAUGCAGCCAAGAUGCCCAAAACAGAUAACAGCCAUGACUGUGAAUUUGCUUGCGACAUCCAUCUUCGUCUUAUUACCUGAGAUAUUGACCAUGGCCUUACUGAGUGAAGGACAAAUCCAGAAGAAUAUGAACUUUAGACAUUUCCUUGACCCCCAAUCAUAAACCUGUACACUUGAGAUAUAAUAUCCAAACAAAUGUACAAGACUUUAGAUCAGAGACCUUGUGAUGGCUAUACAAGCCAACAAAUCCAGGACAACAACAGCCGGGUUCAUCAUGUGAUCACCUCUCUAAACCUGGCACACAUGUCAUAGAUAAUGUACUUUCAUUUGACAAAAUAAAUCUCUAUACUUGAAGUUCCUUGUAUACAUAUCGUUUUCCAAAUAUAAAGUACGGAACAUAUCAAUUUAACGUACAU